Molecule: ribosomal RNA, 429 nt
Filed under: Gemmatimonadota bacterium
Lineage: Bacteria; Pseudomonadati; Gemmatimonadota
Description: Gemmatimonadetes bacterium partial 16S ribosomal RNA
Rfam family: Bacterial small subunit ribosomal RNA
Source: RNAcentral
UAGGGAAUCUUCGGCAAUGGACGAAAGUCUGACCGAGCAACGCCGCGUGAGUGAAGAAGGUUUUCGGAUCGUAAAACUCUGUUGUUAGAGAAGAACAAGGACGUUAGUAACUGAACGUCCCCUGACGGUAUCUAACCAGAAAGCCACGGCUAACUACGUGCCAGCAGCCGCGGUAAUACGUAGGUGGCAAGCGUUGUCCGGAUUUAUUGGGCGUAAAGCGAGCGCAGGCGGUUUCUUAAGUCUGGUGUGAAAGCCCCCGGCUCAACCGGGGAGGGUCAUUGGAAACUGGGAUGCUUGAGGGCAGAAGAGGAGAGUGGAAUUCCAUGUGUAGCGAUGAAAUGCGUAGAUGUAUGGAGGAGAUCCAGUGGCGAAGGCGGCUCUCUGGUCUGUAACUGACGCUGAGGCUCGAAAGCGUGGGGAGCAAACAGG